RNAcentral lists this ribosomal RNA (253 nucleotides) under uncultured bacterium. RNAcentral's name for it is "partial 16S ribosomal RNA". It matches the Rfam family "Bacterial small subunit ribosomal RNA", at positions 524 to 776 of the family's 1533-position model. The record is from RNAcentral.
UACGGGGGGGGCAAGCGUUGUUCGGAAUUACUGGGCGUAAAGGGCUCGUAGGCGGCCAACUAAGUCAGACGUGAAAUCCCUCGGCUUAACCGGGGAACUGCAUCUGAUACUGGAUGGCUCGAGUUUGGGAGAGGGAUGCGGAAUUCCAGGUGUAGCGGUGAAAUGCGUAGAUAUCUGGAGGAACACCGGUGGCGAAGGCGGCAUCCUGGACCGAUACUGACGCUGAGGAGCGAAAGCCAGGGGAGCAAACGGG